UCAUUCUCUUCGACUCUAUCAGGUAAGGUCAUUCAAUGUAUCGCCUUUUUUGUUUUCUAUGAACUGGGUGAGUCUUCCUUUUGUGAUUCCUCUACUGUGAAUUGAUUAGGGUUUAGUUAUUCAGUCGUGUAUGAAAGGGGAAGGUUGUGGUUCAUCUUUACUCGCACCAAUAGCAGCACUGAGCGGCCACAGAUUGAUUGAAAGGGCAGCCCCCUUAAAUUUAAUGAUUGUUGAAGAUGUUCAGCUGUGUGUUUGCUGUAAAUUCCUAAUUGCAAUUUGUAGUGACCUGAUUUGUUUGAACAGAGAGCUAAGGUCACUUUCUAUCUAGUGAAUGGGAGGCUACUAGAAUCGAAGCAUUGCACUGGAUUUCCAACCUUCUAAACAGACAUCGUAUUGAGGGCUGAAGGAAGCACCAUCAAAGGGAAGCACUUUCACUUGGACAAAUAAUCAGGAUCCAGGGUAUUGACAAAUAACUUAUUUUAUGAAUGAAGCCUACGCAUUAUGAAGAACAAGGUGUGUAAUAAAGUAUAUUCUUAUAAUAGAAUUUGAACCAUUAUAAUUGAAUAAUUUCCUGACUUUGGUGAUGAAUAUAUAUAUAUA
This is a long non-coding RNA of Rosa chinensis, 600 nucleotides long. RefSeq lists it as uncharacterized. The transcript has 4 exons. Lineage: Eukaryota; Viridiplantae; Streptophyta; Magnoliopsida; Rosales; Rosaceae. The record is from RefSeq and is a predicted model, not a curated record.